AGCUUAUUAAGAGCGGUGGAGGGACUGGCCCUAUGAAGCCCGGCAACCUGUAUAUGUGUUUGCAUAUUAUAAGGUGCUAAAUCCUGCGGUGUAAACCGAGAGAUGAGGA
Regulatory RNA element from Clostridium tetani E88, 109 nucleotides. It matches the Rfam family "SAM riboswitch aptamer (S box leader)". From Rfam's summary of the family: The SAM riboswitch is found upstream of a number of genes which code for proteins involved in methionine or cysteine biosynthesis in Gram-positive bacteria. The SAM riboswitch acts at the level of transcription termination control. The predicted structure consists of a complex stem-loop region followed by a single stem loop terminator region. The record is from Rfam. NCBI's taxonomy places the organism in Bacteria, Bacillati, Bacillota, Clostridia, Eubacteriales, Clostridiaceae.